UACGUAGGGUGCAAGCGUUGUCCGGAAUUACUGGGCGUAAAGAGCUCGUAGGUGGUUUGUCGCGUUGUUCGUGAAAACUCACAGCUCAACUGUGGGCGUGCGGGCGAUACGGGCAGACUGGAGUACUGCAGGGGAGACUGGAAUUCCUGGUGUAGCGGUGGAAUGCGCAGAUAUCAGGAGGAACACCGGUGGCGAAGGCGGGUCUCUGGGCAGUAACUGACGCUGAGGAGCGAAAGCGUGGGUAGCAAACAGG
This 253-nucleotide ribosomal RNA is filed under the name uncultured bacterium. RNAcentral describes it as "partial 16S ribosomal RNA". It matches the Rfam family "Bacterial small subunit ribosomal RNA", at positions 524 to 776 of the family's 1533-position model. The record is from RNAcentral.